CAGUCGCCACGGUAACACGUAGGGUGCGAGCGUUAAUCGGAAUUACUGGGCGUAAAGCGUGCGCAGGCGGUUGUGUAAGACAGGUGUGAAAUCCCCGGGCUUAACCUGGGAACUGCGCUUGUGACUGCACAGCUAGAGUAUGGCAGAGGGGGGUGGAAUUCCACGUGUAGCAGUGAAAUGCGUAGAGAUGUGGAGGAACACCGAUGGCGAAGGCAGCCCCCUGGGCCAAUACUGACGCUCAUGCAUGAAAGCGUGGGGAGCAAACAGGAUUAGAUACCCCCGUAGUCCCUGUCUCUUAUAC
RNAcentral lists this ribosomal RNA (301 nucleotides) under uncultured bacterium. RNAcentral's name for it is "partial 16S ribosomal RNA". It matches the Rfam family "Bacterial small subunit ribosomal RNA", at positions 509 to 807 of the family's 1533-position model. The record is from RNAcentral.